AGCAGCCGCGGUAAUUCCAGCUCCAAUAGCGUAUAUUAAAGUUGUUGCAGUUAAAAAGCUCGUAGUUGAAUUUCGGGAUCAAUCUGUUGGUCGUGCCUUUGGUACGUACUAGCUUAUUGAUUUCUCCCUUCUGACGAACCAUGAUGUCAUUUAUUUGGUGUUGUGGGAAAUCAGGACUGUUACUUUGAAAAAAUUAGAGUGUUUAAAGCAGGCUCACGCUUGAAUACAUUAGCAUGGAAUAAUGAAAUAGGACGUUUGAUUCUAUUUUGUUGGUUUCUAGGAUCGACGUAAUGAUUAAUAGGGAUAGUUGGGGGCAUUAGUAUUCAAUUGUUAGAGGUGAAAUUCUUGGAUUUAUUGAAGACUAACUACUGCGAAAGCAUUUGCCAAGGAUGUUUUCAUUAAUCAAGAACGAAAGUUAGGGGAUCGAAGACGAUCAGAUACCGUCGUAGUCUUAACCAUAAACUAUGCCGACUAGGGAUCGGAUGAUGUUAAUUUUUAAUGA
RNAcentral lists this ribosomal RNA (502 nucleotides) under uncultured Glomus. RNAcentral describes it as "SSU rRNA". It matches the Rfam family "Eukaryotic small subunit ribosomal RNA", at positions 569 to 1074 of the family's 1831-position model. Lineage: Eukaryota; Fungi; Glomeromycota; Glomeromycetes; Glomerales; Glomeraceae. The record is from RNAcentral.